CCCCUAUGGAGUGACCACAAGAAAGCAUAAAUUGAGGGGUCUCUGGAAGCAGUUGAAGCUGUAAGUAUUGCAAGUUAGCAUAUAUAUCUUGCAUGUUAAAAUUAGUGUGGGACUGAUAUUGAGGUACUGUGACAUAGUGGUGGACUUUACCCAAUAUGGCUAUAUGGUGGAACUGAAUCCCAAUAUUCGUUUGCUAUAAUAGG
Pelobates cultripes (western spadefoot toad) is the source of this 203-nucleotide non-coding RNA. The record is from the annotation of a GenBank genome assembly. NCBI's taxonomy places the organism in Eukaryota, Metazoa, Chordata, Amphibia, Anura, Pelobatidae.